UACGAAGGGGGCUAGCGUUUUUCGGAAUUACUGGGCGUAAAGCGCACGUAGGCGGGUUUGUAAGUAGAGGGUGAAAUCCCAGGGCUCAACCCUGGAACUGCCUUCUAAACUGCAAGCCUGGAGGUCAGGAGAGGCGAGUGGAAUACCGAGUGUAGAGGUGAAAUUCGUAGAUAUUCGGUGGAACACCAGUGGCGAAGGCGACUCGCUGGACUGAUACUGACGCUGAGGUGCGAAAGCGUGGGGAGCAAACAGG
RNAcentral lists this ribosomal RNA (253 nucleotides) under uncultured bacterium. RNAcentral describes it as "partial 16S ribosomal RNA". It matches the Rfam family "Bacterial small subunit ribosomal RNA", at positions 524 to 776 of the family's 1533-position model. The record is from RNAcentral.